This 253-nucleotide ribosomal RNA is filed under the name uncultured bacterium. RNAcentral describes it as "partial 16S ribosomal RNA". It matches the Rfam family "Bacterial small subunit ribosomal RNA", at positions 524 to 776 of the family's 1533-position model. The record is from RNAcentral.
GACGAACCGUGCGAACGUUGUUCGGAAUCACUGGGCAUAAAGGGCGCGUAGGCGGCUUUUCAAGUCAGGGGUGAAAUCCGGCAGCUCAACUGUCGAAGUGCCUUUGAUACUGAGGAGCUCGAGGGAGGUAGGGGUGUGUGGAACUUCCGGUGGAGCGGUGAAAUGCGUUGAUAUCGGAAGGAACGCCGGUGGCGAAAGCGACGCACUGGACCUCUUCUGACGCUGAGGCGCGAAAGCCAGGGGAGCAAACGGG